Long non-coding RNA from Rosa chinensis, 1165 nucleotides. RefSeq lists it as uncharacterized. Lineage: Eukaryota; Viridiplantae; Streptophyta; Magnoliopsida; Rosales; Rosaceae. The transcript has 2 exons. The record is from RefSeq and is a predicted model, not a curated record.
CAGAAAGCAGAAGCAAAAGAAGAAAAAAGAAGGAAUAUUCAAAGAUAAAGCAGCCCAAUCUUUGAUUUAUAUAUUUACUUCCAAAAUCGUUGGAUCUUGUGAAAUUCUUUAAAUCUGUUUUGCCUAACCAAGCUCAAUAAUAUGAUGUCCAGUUGUCCAACAAAAAGUCUAUUCCUAUUAUUAAACAUACAUCUAAAGCUGAAUCACUGUUCAUUCAACUGUUCAUUUAAUAGUGAAAUGACUAUUUUUCCCUUGCUCUUUUCCUUCAAUUACAGUCUGCCAUCCUUCUAUAAUCUUCUCCUCAUUUAAUUGCUGCCAGAACAAUCCAGAGAGAUUAUGAACGAUAGAGAAACAGAGAGAGGGAGUGCGUGUGUUUCUUUGCUUUGCACGAAGAGAUAGAGAGAGAUCAUCAUCUCAGCAAGAGGUCGGUUGCUCUUUGUCACGAGUGUGAUCGGAGAGGUACACAAGGAAAGAAGUGGGAAAGGGAUUUGGGUUUUGAUCACAAGGUUUUUAUUAAGCGGUUUGUAUCAAAUCUCUUCUCAGCUUUCAUCACCAACUCUAAAAAUUUGGGUUCGUCAUCCGCAUGGGUAAUUAGUUGAGCGGAUUCUGGGUGUUUUCUCAUCUUUGGUUUUGGGUGACAAGCUAUUUAGUUGUACCCCGGAAACUCAUAGAGACAGAGAGGAGGCAAAGUUAAGAGAAAAGAACAGGAGAAGAAGACAACGACGUUCAUAGGCUAUCAGUUCAGUUGUUUUUGUCCUUUCAACACAUCGGCCUUUGGAAUGUUCAGUUGUUCAAUUUGAUCGGUUAGUCCGCCUCUCUUGCACCAUUUACAUUUACUGUUUCUGGGUUUUUGUUUGUGUUCAUCAAAACUGAUUAUCAUACUGGUUUAGCUUUGACUAAUGUUCAUUUCUUUGUUAAAGUUUGAAUGUUUGAUCGGAUUGAUUGAUGUUUGAUCAGGUGGUUGUGUAAGAGCUAUUAAUUUGAGAAAAUGGGAGUGUGGGAAAUGUGAUAGUAAACAACUCUAUGAAUUUUGGUUUCGCUUUAAACUACUUUUGUUUUUAUUCUUUGAUACCCACCACAUCAAGGGGAAUUAUUUCAACCUCUCAACUACGCAUGUUAUGAUGUUGUCUUAAUAAUUGAAGGAAACCAUAGAUGCUCUUCCCUA